This 529-nucleotide ribosomal RNA is filed under the name uncultured bacterium. RNAcentral's name for it is "partial 16S ribosomal RNA". It matches the Rfam family "Bacterial small subunit ribosomal RNA", at positions 28 to 523 of the family's 1533-position model. The record is from RNAcentral.
GACGAACGCUGGCGGCGUGCCUAAUACAUGCAAGUCGAACGAACUCUGGUAUUGAUUGGUGCUUGCAUCAUGAUUUACAUUUGAGUGAGUGGCGAACUGGUGAGUAACACGUGGGAAACCUGCCCAGAAGCGGGGGAUAACACCUGGAAACAGAUGCUAAUACCGCAUAACAACUUGGACCGCAUGGUCCGAGCUUGAAAGAUGGCUUCGGCUAUCACUUUUGGAUGGUCCCGCGGCGUAUUAGCUAGAUGGUGGGGUAACGGCUCACAUGGCAAUGAGACGUAGCCGACCUGAGAGGGUAAUCGGCCGCAUUGGGACUGAGACACGGCCCAAACUCCUACGGGAGGCAGCAGUAGGGAAUCUUCCACAAUGGACGAAAGUCUGAUGGAGCAACGCCGCGUGAGUGAAGAAGGGUUUCGGCUCGUAAAACUCUGUUGUUAAAAAAGAACAUAUCUGAGAGUAACUGUUCAGGUAUUGACGGUAUUUACCCAGAAAGCCACGGCUAACUACGUGCCAGCCGCCGCCGUAA